GCUGAGCCUGGUAACGUGGGCUUGUAACCUGAGCGGGGGCAUUGAAAUGGUGGAAUGUUGAGAAGGUAGGACUUUGUGGGCUAUUCUCUGGGCCUGCCCUAUCCAAGCAUAGAGUUGGGCUAUGUGGCCCAAGUGAAGGCAUGGGCUGCUUAGCUCCUGAAGAGGGGCGGACUGCGUCAGGCUGGUUUCACAGAGCAACGAACAGCUCCCUCUCCGUGCAGUGGAAGGAUAACGGGCUGGUCUUCACAAAGACCAACAAAAGCCCGAUGGGCUGCUCCAAUUAAACCACCAUUUUU
Molecule: signal recognition particle RNA, 296 nt
Filed under: Nicotiana sylvestris (wood tobacco)
Lineage: Eukaryota; Viridiplantae; Streptophyta; Magnoliopsida; Solanales; Solanaceae
Description: Plant signal recognition particle RNA
Rfam family: Plant signal recognition particle RNA
Source: Rfam by way of RNAcentral